AUUGAACGCUGGCGGCAGGCCUAACACAUGCAAGUCGAACGAGUGGCGGACGGGUGAGUAAUGUCUGGGAAACUGCCUGAUGGAGGGGGAUAACUACUGGAAACGGUAGCUAAUACCGCAUACCAUCAGAUGUGCCCAGAUGGGAUUAGCUUGUUGGUGGGGUAACGGCUCACCAAGGCGACGAUCCCUAGCUGGUCUGAGAGGAUGACCAGCCAAACGUGAACUGAGGCACGGUCAAGGCUCCUACGGGAGGCAGGAAUGGGGAAUAUUGGACAAUUGGCGCAAGGCUGAUGGAGCCAUGCCGCGUGUAUGGAGGAGGCCUUCGGGUUUUAAAGUACUUUCAGCGGGGAGGCGUUACCCGCAGAAGAAGCACCGGCUAACUCCGUGCCAGCAGCCGCGGUAAUAC
RNAcentral lists this ribosomal RNA (406 nucleotides) under uncultured bacterium. RNAcentral describes it as "partial 16S ribosomal RNA". It matches the Rfam family "Bacterial small subunit ribosomal RNA", at positions 30 to 526 of the family's 1533-position model. The record is from RNAcentral.